GAUGAACGCUAGCUACAGGCUUAACACAUGCAAGUCGAGGGGCAGCAUGGUCUUAGCUUGCUAAGGCCGAUGGCGACCGGCGCACGGGUGAGUAACACGUAUCCAACCUGCCGUCUACUCUUGGACAGCCUUCUGAAAGGAAGAUUAAUACAAGAUGGCAUCAUGAGUUCACAUGUUCACAUGAUUAAAGGUAUUCCGGUAGACGAUGGGGAUGCGUUCCAUUAGAUAGUAGGCGGGGUAACGGCCCACCUAGUCUUCGAUGGAUAGGGGUUCUGAGAGGAAGGUCCCCCACAUUGGAACUGAGACACGGUCCAAACUCCUACGGGAGGCAGCAGUGAGGAAUAUUGGUCAAUGGGCGAGAGCCUGAACCAGCCAAGUAGCGUGAAGGAUGACUGCCCUAUGGGUUGUAAACUUCUUUUAUAAAGGAAUAAAGUCGGGUAUGUAUACCCGUCUGCAUGUACUUUAUGAAUAAGGAUCGGCUAACUCCGUG
RNAcentral lists this ribosomal RNA (490 nucleotides) under uncultured bacterium. Its description in RNAcentral is "partial 16S ribosomal RNA". It matches the Rfam family "Bacterial small subunit ribosomal RNA", at positions 28 to 507 of the family's 1533-position model. The record is from RNAcentral.